Molecule: ribosomal RNA, 465 nt
Filed under: uncultured Klebsiella sp.
Lineage: Bacteria; Pseudomonadati; Pseudomonadota; Gammaproteobacteria; Enterobacterales; Enterobacteriaceae
Description: bacterial SSU rRNA
Rfam family: Bacterial small subunit ribosomal RNA
Source: RNAcentral
CCUACGGGUGGCUGCAGUGGGGAAUAUUGCACAAUGGGCGCAAGCCUGAUGCAGCCAUGCCGCGUGUGUGAAGAAGGCCUUCGGGUUGUAAAGCACUUUCAGCGGGGAGGAAGGCGGUGAGGUUAAUAACCUCAUCGAUUGACGUUACCCGCAGAAGAAGCACCGGCUAACUCCGUGCCAGCAGCCGCGGUAAUACGGAGGGUGCAAGCGUUAAUCGGAAUUACUGGGCGUAAAGCGCACGCAGGCGGUCUGUCAAGUCGGAUGUGAAAUCCCCGGGCUCAACCUGGGAACUGCAUUCGAAACUGGCAGACUAGAGUCUUGUAGAGGGGGGUAGAAUUCCAGGUGUAGCGGUGAAAUGCGUAGAGAUCUGGAGGAAUACCGGUGGCGAAGGCGGCCCCCUGGACAAAGACUGACGCUCAGGUGCGAAAGCGUGGGGAGCAAACAGGAUUAAAUACCCCAGUAGUC